Molecule: RNA transcript, 1801 nt
Organism: Coregonus clupeaformis (lake whitefish)
Lineage: Eukaryota; Metazoa; Chordata; Actinopteri; Salmoniformes; Salmonidae
Gene name: keratinocyte-associated protein 3-like
Exons: 8
Source: RefSeq, a predicted model, not a curated record
GUCACCAACUCGGUAGGCGCGAGGAGGUUUUUCAUGAAAAUAAAACGUUAGCCUGUCUGUUAUCCUCCAUGAAAUAGGCUAUAUCUUGACAAAUAUACUGCAGAAGUAUGUGUGGUUUCGAUAAGGAGAAGGGUCCGGGGUGGCUGAUGAAGAAGGGGUUUACUCUGAUCCUAGUGGGCCACAUCAACUUCAUCCUGGGAGCCAUCGUCCACGGCAGCAUCCUGCGCCACAUCUCCAAACCCAAUGACCAGAUCACCACUGAGUUCACCGCAGGCAACAUAAUCUCUGUCACUUCUGGACUGCUGAGCAUUGCAACAGGAAUUAUUGCCAUAUUGGUGUCAAGAAAUCUGUUGGUUUGGAAACUGCACAUAGGUCUUCUGAUUAGUUCCUUCCUGAAUGCCCUACUCUCUGCGGCCUGCGGCGUCGGGCUCCUAUUGGCUAUUAGCCUCACCAUUGCCAACGAGGGGCGGGGCCUCAUGAUGGGCUGCAACUUCACUGACCUGCCAAUCAACGCCCGCUCACCAAUCAACGCAGACUGCCCCUUCGAUACCACACGGAUAUAUGACACUACCCUGUCUCUGUGGUUCCCAUGUGUUCUGCUGGCAGGACUGGAAACAGGACUGUCCAUCUGGUGCUUCGUAGUGGGACUGGUACUGAGGGGUCUAGGACCCUGCUCACAUGCAUACCUCAAAGAACAGCUGGAGGAAGAGGCUCUGACCAAUAGGGCAGCGGCAGAUCCAGAGUACUCACCCCCAGGCCAAAGCCUGAUUGGACAACACUCUGCCUACGCAUAGAGGACUGCCACAGUCAGGGAGGGGAUGACUGAACCUCGUCCUCCUCAGAGAACCUCCCUGAUGCCUAUACCUCCACUCAUACCAAAGACUCUCCUCUCCCUCUCAGUGAGCGGCUAGACUUUAUUUCCUGAUGGUGCAUAUGAAAGAAAGGAAACAGAGAGAUGAAACCACUUUAGAGUACUGAGACACACCGUGAGAGUUUGUUUCAGGCGUAGCUGGGAUGGGCUCACAUUCCCCUACACCAGGCAGAAGCGAACAGCUCAGCGUUGAAGCGGUUAAUCUGGGACUGGGUUAAAUCGAGCAGGUUGUAAUCUUUGCAUGCAAGGCUAAUCCCCCAAACCGAGGGGAGAAUCAAUAUUGAUAUAAGGAGGUGACUGACACUGUCACAACAAAGCGGGUUCCCUGUGCGACACUGUCACAAAAAGGUUGUCCCUCCAGGGUUUCCGUAUGUUGUUGAUAUUGUAGUACUACUGUAGUAGUGUGGUUUAGGAGGGAUAAACUAGUGUAAGGCUACUCAUCAAGAUGCCCUGGUGGACAAUCUGAAUUGUGCUCUAUCAGAAUGUGGUUUGUUAAUCUUUUAUGUAUAAGAGUUGGGUCAAUUUCAUAUUUAUUCAGUAAAUUAAGGAAGUUAAUUGAAAUUCAGUUUAUUAAUACUUUUCUAAUAGUUUUUUUUAAGCAUGAGUGGAAUUUCAUUUCACCUCCUGAAAUGAAAACUGAAUUGAUCUCAACCCUGAUCUGGAUCUACAUUUAAUGACCUAUGUUGUUUUUUGGUUGCCUGCAGUAUUUAUACCCAAAGUUGCAUCGGAUUUUUUUUUGUUGUUGAUUUUAUGUCACAAUGUGUUCAAAGUUUUUUACAUUAAAUAAUCUGCUUCAAAUUAAUGUUUACUAUUUGACUAAUCAUUGCUAUCCUCAGAAUACCUUGACUAGGUAGAAAUGCACAGCACAAUCUCACACACACACACAUACACACACCCUGUAUAUAUAGCCUCCCUACUGUUAUUUUAUUU